This is a long non-coding RNA of Haliotis rubra (blacklip abalone), 103 nucleotides long. RefSeq lists it as uncharacterized. The transcript has 3 exons. NCBI's taxonomy places the organism in Eukaryota, Metazoa, Mollusca, Gastropoda, Lepetellida, Haliotidae. The record is from RefSeq and is a predicted model, not a curated record.
CGACAGGUGUGAACAAACAUGCCCAGAUGGACGUUAUGGUGCCAAUUGUGCGUGUCCGUGUGGUCACUGUCUGGACACUGACGUCUGUGACAAGGUGACGGGG